AACGAACGCUGGCGGCAUGCCUAACACAUGCAAGUCGAACGAGACCUUCGGGUCUAGUGGCGCACGGGUGCGUAACGCGUGGGAACCUGCCUUUAGGUCGGAAUAACAGUGAGAAAUUACUGCUAAUACCGGAUGAUGUCUUCGGACCUUGCGCUAAUAGAUGAGCCUAAGUCGGAUUAGCUAGUUGGUGGGGUAAAGGCCUACCAAGGCGACGAUCUGUAGCGGGUCUGAGAGGAUGAUCCGCCACACUGGGACUGAGACACGGCCCAGACUCCUACGGGAGGCAGCAGUGGGGAAUAUUGGACAAUGGGCGAAAGCCUGAUCCAGCAAUGCCGCGUGAGUGAUGAAGGCCUUAGGGUUGUAAAGCUCUUUUACCCGAGAUGAUAAUGACAGUAUCGGGAGAAUAAGCUCCGGCUAACUCCGUG
RNAcentral lists this ribosomal RNA (425 nucleotides) under uncultured bacterium. RNAcentral describes it as "bacterial SSU rRNA". It matches the Rfam family "Bacterial small subunit ribosomal RNA", at positions 29 to 507 of the family's 1533-position model. The record is from RNAcentral.